GCUCACCGAGCCCGUAAUCAGUAGCAGCCGUGGGAGCGGUAGCUGCCAGUCGUGUUCUGAGACAAGAACACGGGCCCUACGGGGCGCAGCAGGCACGAAACCUUUACAAUGCACGCGAGUGCGAUAGGGGGACUCCGAGUGCGUUCUUCCCACAAGGAAGGGCGCUUUUCUGCACUGUAAGGAGGUGCAGGAACAAGGGGUGGGCAAGACUGCUGCCAGCCGCCGCGGUAAUAGCAGCACCCCGAGUGGUAGUCGUUAUUAUUGGGCUUAAAGUGUACGUAGCCGGACCUGUAAGUCUGUUGUGAAAUCCACACGCUCAACGCAGUGGAAGCGCAACGGAUACUACAGGUCUAGGGACCGGAGGACGCCGAGGCUAUUCCAUGGGUAGGAGUGAAAUCCUAAGAUCCAUGGAGGAGCACCAGUGGCGAAAGCGCUCGGCGACUACGGAUCCGACGGUGAGGUACGAAAGCCAGGGGAGCAAAGCGGAUUAGAUACCCGCGUAGUCCUGGCCGUCAACAUUGUCCGCUCGACAUGGCCCAACCCUUGAGGUUUGGCUGUGUCCAAGUGAAAACGUUAAGCGGACCGCCUGGGUAGUACGGUCGCAAGGCUGAAACUUAAAGGAAUUGACGGGGGAGCACCACAACCGGUGGGGGCUGCGGUUUAAUUAGAUCAAACGCAGCGCACCCUACCAGAGCCGACAGCAGAAUGACGGUCAGCUUGAAGAGCUUACCCGACGCGCUGAGAGGAGCUGCAUGGCCGCCGUCAGCUCGUGCCGCGAGGUGUCCGGUUAAGUCCGGUAACGAGCGAGACCCGUACCCUAUGUUGCCACGGAGACACUAGCUGUCUUCGGCACUCGUGGGGGACCGCUGGCGAUAAGCCAGAGGAAGGAGCGGGCCACGGUAGGUCAGUAUGGCCCGAAUGCUCUGGGAUACACGCGGCC
Molecule: ribosomal RNA, 940 nt
Filed under: uncultured Nanohalarchaeota archaeon
Lineage: Archaea; Nanobdellati; Candidatus Nanohalarchaeota
Description: bacterial SSU rRNA
Rfam family: Archaeal small subunit ribosomal RNA
Source: RNAcentral